This 497-nucleotide ribosomal RNA is filed under the name uncultured bacterium. RNAcentral describes it as "partial 16S ribosomal RNA". It matches the Rfam family "Bacterial small subunit ribosomal RNA", at positions 28 to 507 of the family's 1533-position model. The record is from RNAcentral.
GACGAACGCUGGCGGCGUGCCUAAUACGUGCAAGUUGAGCGCUGAAGGUUGGUCCUUGUACCAACUGGAUGAGCAGCGAACGGGUGAGUAACGCGUGGGGAAUCUGCCUUUGAGCGGGGGACAACAUUUGGAAACGAAUGCUAAUACCGCAUAAAAACUUUAAACACAAGUUUUAAGUUUGAAAGAUGCAAUUGCAUCACUCAAAGAUGAUCCCGCGUUGUAUUAGCUAGUUGGUGAGGUAAAGGCUCACCAAGGCGAUGAUACAUAGCCGACCUGAGAGGGUGAUCGGCCACAUUGGGACUGAGACACGGCCCAAACUCCUACGGGAGGCAGCAGUAGGGAAUCUUCGGCAAUGGACGAAAGUCUGACCGAGCAACGCCGCGUGAGUGAAGAAGGUUUUCGGAUCGUAAAACUCUGUUGGUAGAGAAGAACGUUGGUGAGAGUGGAAAGCUCAUCAAGUGACGGUAACUACACAGAAAGGGACGGCUAACUACGUG